AAAACCCCUAUGAGCAUGGCUGGACUAGGAGAAAAACAGAAUUUUGAGAAGAGGAAAGUGAAAAGUUUCUAUUGGAGCUAUACUUUUGCAUAGCUCAUCUCAAAGCAGAAUCUCCUAAAUAGGUAACAUUCACCAAACUAUUUAAGUGAAAAAUACAAGUCCCUAAAUUUCUGCUUUAUUGAAAAUUUAGAUUGGAGAAGGAAGAAAUAAAAAGAAAGAAGUAUGUAGAUCAUAAGAACAGAGAAGACAAGGAUCCUUCACCCUGAUGCUUUGCAGUGCAGAUGGUGAGAUCUCACGACCCCAGAGAGGAAAUGGCUGUGACAGGGUCUCGCUCUGUCAUCCAGGCUGGAGUGCACGAUCUCAGCUCACUGCAACCUCCGCCUCCUGGGUUCAAGUGAUUCUCCUGCCUCAGCCUCCCGAGCAGCUGGGAUUACAGGUGCCGGCCACAACACCCAGAUAAUUUUUGUAUUUUUGGUAGAGACGGGAUUUCACCAUGUUGGCCAGGCUGGUCUCGAACUCCUGACCUCAAGUGAUUCGCCUGCCUUGGCCUCCCAAAGUGCUGGGAUUACAGCACUUAAGUCCUCUGGUUUAUGACUUAAUUUCUCAACUAAGUUUUGAUGGUGGAUUUCUUAUUAUAAAGAUAUUUGAUAAUAAAUAAUAACAUUUCAAUAUGGGCAACAUGGCGAAACCCUGUCUCUACAAAAAAUACAAAAAUUAGUCCAGCGUGGUGGUGUGCACCUGUAGUCCCAGCUACCCAAGAGGCUGAGGUGGGAGGAUCACCUGAGACCGGGAAGGUCGAGGCUGCAGUGAACUGUAAUCGUAUCACUGCACUCCAACCUGGGCGACAAGAGUGAGACCUUGUCUAAAAAAAAAUUAAAUAAAUAAAUGAUAACAUUAAUAAACUGAACAAUUUCUUGAAAAACACCCACAUGGAAUUUGCGUGUAUUUUUGUUGGUUCUCAUUUUUUUUUUUUACCCUUUAUCACAGUCAGUUGUUCUGUUGCAUAUAUUUCUGAUUUGUAAAAAAAAAAAAAAAAAAAAAAAAAAAAAAAAAGAAAUGGAAAAAUAAUUCAAUAAUCUGAUAAAUAAAUGCCAACUCCAUAUUUAAUAGUGAAACAUUAGAGCCCGAUUUUCUAUUACUGCUCCUAAUGUACUCAUUCCAUAUGAGUACAUGAAUAGGG
RNAcentral lists this long non-coding RNA (1180 nucleotides) under Papio anubis (olive baboon). Its description in RNAcentral is "lncRNA (ENSPANG00000044463.1)". Lineage: Eukaryota; Metazoa; Chordata; Mammalia; Primates; Cercopithecidae. The record is from RNAcentral.